This 227-nucleotide long non-coding RNA is filed under the name Gossypium barbadense (sea-island cotton). Its description in RNAcentral is "long non-coding RNA (GBAR_LNC022499)". Lineage: Eukaryota; Viridiplantae; Streptophyta; Magnoliopsida; Malvales; Malvaceae. The record is from RNAcentral.
AAGUUUAACACCUCCCGUAAAAAUGGGUGCGGCAAAAGGGUAAAGCCCCCUUCUAAAGCAUGCAAGCGGAGUUGGAACCAUGUAGGAUUUUGGAAAGUAUUGUUAAAUUGUUCUUCCCCUCCACUCAAGAUAUCUUGUACAUAAUUGUCUUAUGGUGGACCCCCUAGCCUAGAGCAUCCUUGUAGACUCAUUGGACGUAGUGGUACACCAAAAUUACCCAGUGGGAG